Molecule: long non-coding RNA, 855 nt
Filed under: Nicotiana benthamiana
Lineage: Eukaryota; Viridiplantae; Streptophyta; Magnoliopsida; Solanales; Solanaceae
Description: long non-coding RNA (NBEN_LNC015815)
Source: RNAcentral
GACUUAUAUAUCCACCUUAAGAUUGGAAAGUUAUAAAGCUUAAACUUGAAGACUACAUUGACUUGAACACUUGGAAAACUUUGAAGAUUUGGCGGACUUUGCAGACUUCAACUCGAAGAUUCAGAGGGUUUAAACAAUUCAAAUUUAAGACCGACGAAAUUGAAGACUGGAACUUGAAGACCAACGAAUUUGAAGACUUCAACUUUGAGACUUGAAGGGUCUAAAUACUUCAACUUGAAAAUCACCGAAUUUGAAGACUUCAACUUGAAGACCGACGGACUUGAAGACUUCAACUUUGAGACUUAGAGGGCCUAAAUAUUUCAACUUAAAGUUCAAUGGAUUUGAAGACUUCAACUUGAAGACCGACGAACUUGAAGGCUUCAACUUUGAGACUUGGAUGGCCUAAAUAUUUCAACUUGAAGGUCGGCGAAUUUGAAGACUUCAACUUGUAGAAUGACAGACUUGAAGACUUCAACUCUGAGACUUGGAGGGCCUAAAUAUUUCAACUUGAAGAUCGGCGAAUUUGAAGACUUCAACUUGAAGACCGGCGGACUUGAAGACUUCAACUUGAAGACUUAGAGGGCCUAAAUAUUUCAACUUGAAGAUCGGCGAAUUUGAAGACUUCAACUUGAAGACCAACGAACUUGAAGACUUCAACUUUUAGAAUUGGAGGGCCUAAUAAUUUCAAUUUGAAGAUCGGCGAAUUUGGAGACUUCAACUUGUAGACCGACGGACUUGAAGACUUCAAUUUUGAGAUUUCGAGGGCCUAAAUAUUUCAACUUGAAGAUCGACAAAUUUGAAUACUUCAACUUGAAGACCAACGGAGUUAAAGAUUUCAACUUGGGAACUUCAACU